This 887-nucleotide ribosomal RNA is filed under the name uncultured bacterium. RNAcentral's name for it is "bacterial SSU rRNA". It matches the Rfam family "Bacterial small subunit ribosomal RNA", at positions 505 to 1397 of the family's 1533-position model. The record is from RNAcentral.
GUGCCAGCAGCCGCGGUAAUACGGGGGAUGCAAGCGUUAUCCGGAUUUAUUGGGUUUAAAGGGUGCGUAGGCGGCCUGUUAAGUCAGUGGUGAAAUAUCUUCGCUCAACGAAGAGACUGCCAUUGAUACUGGUGGGCUUGAAUGCGGAUGCCGUUGGAGGAAUGUGUGGUGUAGCGGUGAAAUGCAUAGAUAUCACACAGAACACCGAUUGCGAAGGCAUCUGACGAAUCCGCAAUUGACGCUGAUGCACGAAAGCGUGGGUAUCAAACAGGAUUAGAUACCCUGGUAGUCCACGCUGUAAACGAUGAUAACUAACCGUUGGCGAUAUACAGUCAGUGGCCAAGCGAAAGCGAUAAGUUAUCCACCUGGGGAGUACGACCGCAAGGUUGAAACUCAAAGGAAUUGACGGGGGCCCGCACAAGCGGAGGAACAUGUGGUUUAAUUCGAUGAUACGCGAGGAACCUUACCCGGGCUCGAACGGCAGGGGAAUUAUUCAGAGAUGGAUAAGUCUUCGGACUCCUGUCGAGGUGCUGCAUGGUUGUCGUCAGCUCGUGCUGUGAAGUGUCGGCUUAAGUGCCAUAACGAGCGCAACCCUUGUCGUCAGUUGCCAUCAGGUAAAGCUGGGGACUCUGGCGAGACUGCCACCGCAAGGUGUGAGGAAGGGGGGGAUGACGUCAAAUCAGCACGGCCCUUACGUCCGGGGCGACACACGUGUUACAAUGGUGGGUACAGAGGGAAGCUACCUGGUGACAGGAUGCAGAUCUCGAAAACCCAUCCCAGUUCGGACUGGAGUCUGCAACUCGACUCCACGAAGUUGGAUUCGCUAGUAAUCGCGCAUCAGCCAUGGCGCGGUGAAUACGUUCCCGGGCCUUGUACACACCGCCCGU